UCAUCCUCAUCAUCAUCGUCC
Molecule: microRNA, 21 nt
Filed under: Oryza sativa (Asian cultivated rice)
Lineage: Eukaryota; Viridiplantae; Streptophyta; Magnoliopsida; Poales; Poaceae
Description: osa-miR414
Gene: osa-miR414
Source: miRBase by way of RNAcentral